UGGGGAAUAUUGGACAAUGGGCGAAAGCCUGAUCCAGCCAUGCCGCGUGUGUGAAGAAGGUCUUCGGAUUGUAAAGCACUUUAAGUUGGGAGGAAGUGCAGUAAGCGAGUACCUUGCUGUUUUGACGUUACCGACAGAAUAAGCACCGGCUAACUCUGUGCCAGCAGCCGCGGUAAUACAGAGGGUGCAAGCGUUAAUCGGAAUUACUGGGCGUAAAGCGCGCGUAGGUGGUUCGUUAAGUUGAAUGUGAAAGCCCCGGGCUCAACCUGGGAACUGCAUCCAAAACUGGCGAGCUAGAGUAGGGCAGAGGGUGGUGGAAUUUCCUGUGUAGCGGUGAAAUGCGUAGAUAUAGGAAGGAACACCAGUGGCGAAGGCGACCACCUGGGCUCAUACUGACACUGAGGUGCGAAAGCGUGGGGAGCAAACAGG
Molecule: ribosomal RNA, 429 nt
Filed under: Pseudomonadota bacterium
Lineage: Bacteria; Pseudomonadati; Pseudomonadota
Description: Proteobacteria bacterium partial 16S ribosomal RNA
Rfam family: Bacterial small subunit ribosomal RNA
Source: RNAcentral